Long non-coding RNA from Oncorhynchus tshawytscha (Chinook salmon), 596 nucleotides. The record is from Ensembl. NCBI's taxonomy places the organism in Eukaryota, Metazoa, Chordata, Actinopteri, Salmoniformes, Salmonidae.
CUCAGAUACUUUUAUCUCUUAUCUUUUUAAAACACACAGAGGAUGUAGAAAAACAUUGUCACUAAACUGUAUUGUACAUACAAACACAGGCAGAAUACACAAACACAGGCAGAAUACACAAGCACAGGCAGAACACACAAACACAGGCAGAAUACACAAACACAGGCAGAACACACAAACACAGGCAGAAUACACAAACACAGGCAGAACAUACAAACAGGCAGAAUACACAAACACAGGCAGAAUACACAAACAGGCAGAAUACACAAACACAGGCAGAAUACACAAGCACAGGCAGAAUACACAGGCAGAAUACACAAACACAGGCAGAAUACACAAACAGGCAGAAUACACAAACACAGGCAGAAUACACAAACACAGGCAGAAUACACAAACACAACCCUUCUACGGGUUUUACAUUCAUAAAAGAAACUCACCGCAUCACAUGAUUUACAUCAUUCUACAUAGUCCUAAUAAAUAUUAUCUGUUGACUAUGAAUAUAUAAUCUUUUAAACAUAUUUACAAUCAAGAUGACUUUAAUGGCCCUUAGCAGCCUACGUGUAGACUAGAUUACCAUCUGGUGGUCAUAUUCACAU